AGGCACCCACAAUGAAAUAACACAGUGAAAAAAUAAUAAAAUCUACGCAGCUUGUUGGAGAAGGUAAAAUUCACCGAGAACAAACAUGACAAUCAACAAAAUGCAAUGAAAGUUUGAAAACUUAAAGAAAUCAUGAAAGAAAAAUCAAAGUGCGACCAGAUCUGUACAAAACAAGCAUAAUAAUAAUAAUACAAAACCAAAAUAUUCAGUUAGCCAGGGAAGAGAGACGCGGUGGUCGUGGAGUCUGGUUCGCCGGUUGGAGCAGUGACGCUGGUUCACCGGGGUUUGCCCGGCAGCGACGGCUGGUUUCACUGGUGAAGGAGAUGGUGGUGCGGAAGGAGGUUUGUUGGCUAUUUAGGCGACAAAAGGGAGGAGGGUGGUGGUCGCCGGAGCCGGGAA
RNAcentral lists this long non-coding RNA (399 nucleotides) under Capsicum annuum. RNAcentral's name for it is "long non-coding RNA (CANN_LNC006566)". Lineage: Eukaryota; Viridiplantae; Streptophyta; Magnoliopsida; Solanales; Solanaceae. The record is from RNAcentral.